Molecule: non-coding RNA, 2583 nt
Organism: Cricetulus griseus (Chinese hamster)
Lineage: Eukaryota; Metazoa; Chordata; Mammalia; Rodentia; Cricetidae
Source: RefSeq, a predicted model, not a curated record
AUCACUAUAGCUUAAGGUGAUCUACCAAUGUCCCUUCAUACACUGGAUUGGUGACAACUCCAUGCCUCAUGAUUUAUUUUCUCUUUAUGACAAAACAGAGUAAGAAACUCCAAUCCCAGAAGGAGGCCACCAAGACUAACGUCCAGGUCACUUUGUCACAGAGACAGUCAUCACCAAAGAUGACCAGUGUGCCAAUGGAAGGCCUGUCUACACUGCAGAAUACCACUGAAAGAACUCCGUCUUAUUUCUGAUUGACUUUACAAAGGACAGAGUUUCACCAAGAUAAUCUUUUUGGAUAGAUGCUACCUUCCUGAAUUACACAAAAUGUAGCAAUACAUUCAUGAAAUGGGGGAGGGGGCAGAAGGCCUCAAUGGAGGAACGGCACUUACUAGAAUCUCAACACCAGGCCAUCUUUGAAGAACCAAACAAUGGGAUCCAUUCCUCUAGUUCUGAUAUUUUAACCAAGCGGAUAUUUUUAUUUACAAAGGAAAGCUAUUAUUUCACUUUUAACAGAGAUAGUUUAUAAUGCCAGAAUUAGAAGUAGCAGAAAUCUUGCUUUUAACAGAAAAACUAAAGGAAAAACAGAUAAUUGGGAGAAGCCUUCAGCGUCUCUGGUUUCAUCUUCUCAGGGCUGUUUAAGGUCAAUCUCCAGCAUGCUCAGUUUUCACAUAUAUCUUUGUUUAUCUUCCAGAAACUAUCAUUAUUCUGUGUGGCAGUAAUCUCUACUUGUCUUCCAGUAAGCCUAACCCAACCCCCCUACCUCCACCCAGUCCUCCCCUCCCCUGACACCCUGGCCUGGGUACCAGGUUCCGGGUCCUCACAAGACUUACUUUGCCAUCAGGAUGAAAUGGUUUUCAUACUUACUAAUAUAAAAAUUGACUACACCAUCCAUGGUUGUUCACUUUUUAUGGGUUAUGAUUCCUUUUGACAAGUUUGAUUAUUGUUUUGAGAAUCAGAAUCGUAGUCUGAAAAAUUAAAAUAGAAAUCAUCUCAGAACUCCUGCUCUUUAGCAUUUAACUCUCCUCUGUGCCUUGGGCUGUUGUGAUUACUUUGUCCAUUUGUACAGGAAACAUCAGUGAUGCUCAUAAGUGAGAUUGCAACUCUUGGUUCUGCAGUGAUAUUUUUAACAGAAGCUGAGAUGGGAGUUUGUAAAGGGCAUUUUGAAGGAAGAAUAACUUAAGAUGAAAUAUUUAGCCCAUCUCCUUAUUAAGACAAAAUUUGCGAGUCUAAUUUCAGCCAUUAUUUUGUAAUGAGUGCCCUCCAGUUCCUUAAUUCAUCAAUUUCCUCCACGGCUCUUGCAUUAGCUGUGCACUUAGCCCUUCUUCCUGUGCUGUCUCAGGCUCCACUCAGGUCCUGUGCUGCCAGCUUCCUCCCCAGCUAAGGACCACUGUCAAGUGGCUCUUGAUUUCACAGCCCCAUCCACUUAGGAGAAGGGAAUGAGCUCAUCAAUAAAGCUGAACCCAGAGCCCCGCCCCCACCCCAGAAGCCUGAGAGAAGAUAGCAACAGGAUACAUGAAGAUAUUCAUGUUGCAUAUGCAGAUAGCCCACAUGUUAGCAGGUGUUCUUGUAGCUGGUGUCUUCAGUGUUGGUGAUGCAAGGCUUUCUCUAUUUGUCUGACUGAUGCCAUCACAAAGUUGGAUCCACAUGUAUAAGAUCACACUGACCACAGACUUCAGUGCCAGGACCUGAGGAACUACCUCUCAGCAGAAAUGCAAGGCACAGUGCAUUACACCAGUCCCUGCUGAUGCGCUCCUCUAAGCAGGGGUGGAGCUGCCCUUGCCCAUACUUAUACUUUCACCAAACCAGAUGUCCAAGGGGCUGGGUGAACAGUGUCUGUAAAGCAGAAUUGUUUUAGCCUUUGAUCCAGAGGGUUGGACACCAGUUCUCAGGUGUUUUACAGGCACAAAACAAUAACCUCAUGAAGACUUAAUGCUGCCCAGACAGGGUGUUUGAGGAGGACAAACAGAGAGACAGAGUUGGACUCAAUGUGAAUGGCAAUGUCACUCCAACAUCAGCUGGGAUUUCAGGGCAAUUACUUAAGUCACAGGUUGGCAAUACACAGAGAAGGACAGAUGUGCUAACGCUGCGGCCGUGUGUGUGAAUGCAGGGAUAUCACCAGUGUGAUCAGGACAUUGAAAAAUGAGGGCCUAGUGUUGAGCUGUCUCCUUCAGAAUAACACUCACUUCACACAUGCUGGGCCAAAAUGCUUACUACCAUGACCAACCACUCUGGAAAUUCACAGAUUGAUUUUUUCAAUACAGAGAUAAAUAAAAUAUGACUCCGUCAGCUUUCCUAUAGCAUGAUUCAUUCGGGAUGCGGUGAAUUAUUUAUUCCUGACUCUCCGUGCUGCCUGCCUAUUUAUUCACUAAUCUUUAAAGCUAUAUGGUAAAACGGUGCAAACUGUCCUGAAACAGAUUCGCAUGUAUGGACAUUUUAAACAGCUAUAUUUUACAUAUAUCCGGGAGGAGAAAUCAAUGCUUCUGGGGCAACAGAGAAUCUGGCCCUCAAGAAGAUGAAAUUAUGGCUUCUUUAAUUUAAACCCAUGUAUCAUGCAAAAUAAAAUUAUUCUUUCAUCAACAUCAA